This 72-nucleotide transfer RNA is filed under the name Mus musculus (house mouse). It matches the Rfam family "tRNA". From Rfam's summary of the family: Transfer RNA (tRNA) molecules are approximately 80 nucleotides in length. The record is from Rfam by way of RNAcentral. RNAcentral also lists the same sequence under 1 other name. Lineage: Eukaryota; Metazoa; Chordata; Mammalia; Rodentia; Muridae.
UGGGAUGUAGCUCAGUUGGCAGAGUGCUUGCCUAGCAAGCAUGGAACCCUGGGUUCAAUUCCCAGUUCCCUG